CCUACGGGUGGCUGCAGUGGGGAAUAUUGGACAAUGGGCGAAAGCCUGAUCCAGCCAUGCCGCGUGUGUGAAGAAGGCCUUCGGGUUGUAAAGCACUUUCAGUGGGGAAGAAAGCCUUGGGGCUAAUACCCUCGAGGAAGGACAUCACCCACAGAAGAAGCACCGGCUAACUCCGUGCCAGCAGCUGCGGUAAUACGGAGGGUGCGAGCGUUAAUCGGAAUUACUGGGCGUAAAGCGCGCGUAGGCGGUCUGAUAAGCCGGUUGUGAAAGCCCCGGGCUCAACCUGGGAACGGCAUCCGGAACUGUCAGGCUAGAGUGCAGGAGAGGAAGGUAGAAUUCCCGGUGUAGCAGUGAAAUGCGUAGAGAUCGGGAGGAAUACCAGUGGCGAAGGCGGCCUUCUGGACUGACACUGACGCUGAGGUGCGAAAGCGUGGGUAGCAAACAGGAUUAGAUACCCGGGUUGUC
This 465-nucleotide ribosomal RNA is filed under the name Vreelandella stevensii. RNAcentral describes it as "partial 16S ribosomal RNA". It matches the Rfam family "Bacterial small subunit ribosomal RNA", at positions 338 to 795 of the family's 1533-position model. The record is from RNAcentral. Lineage: Bacteria; Pseudomonadati; Pseudomonadota; Gammaproteobacteria; Oceanospirillales; Halomonadaceae.